This 515-nucleotide ribosomal RNA is filed under the name uncultured Glomus. Its description in RNAcentral is "SSU rRNA". It matches the Rfam family "Eukaryotic small subunit ribosomal RNA", at positions 569 to 1085 of the family's 1831-position model. The record is from RNAcentral. Lineage: Eukaryota; Fungi; Glomeromycota; Glomeromycetes; Glomerales; Glomeraceae.
AGACAGCGUCGGUAUUCAGCUCCAUAGCGUAUAUUAAAGUUGUUGCAGGUUAAAAAGCGUCGUAGUUGAAUUUCGGGGUUAGUAGGUUGGUCAUGCCUCUGGUAUGUACUGGCCUCACUGAUUCCUCCUUCCUGAUGAGCCGUAAUGCCAUUAAUUUGGUGUUGCGGGGAAUUUGGACUGUUACUUUGAAAAAAUUAGAGUGUUUAAAGCAAGCUAACGCUUGAAUACAUUAGCAUGGAAUAAUGAAAUAGGACGUUCGAUCCUAUUUUGUUGGUUUCUAGGAUUGACGUAAUGAUUAAUAGGGAUAGUUGGAGGCAUUAGUAUUCAAUUGUCAGAGGUGAAAUUCUUGGAUUUAUUGAAGACUAACUACUGCGAAAGCAUUUGCCAAGGAUGUUUUCAUUAAUCAAGAACGAAAGUUAGGGGAUCGAAGACGAUCAGAUACCGUCGUAGUCUUAACCAUAAACUAUGCCGACUAGGGAUCGGAUGAUGUUAAUUUUUUAAUGACUCAUUCGGCG